CCUACGGGAGGCAGCAGUGGGGAAUUUUGGACAAUGGGGGCAACCCUGAUCCAGCAAUGCCGCGUGAGUGAAGAAGGCCUUCGGGUUGUAAAGCUCUUUUGUCAGGGAAGAAACAGCAGCUCUAACACAGUCUGCGAAUGACGGUACCUGAAGAAUAAGCACCGGCUAACUACGUGCCAGCAGCCGCGGUAAUACGUAGGGUGCGAGCGUUAAUCGGAAUUACUGGGCGUAAAGCGUGCGCAGGCGGUUAUACAAAACAGGCGUGAAAUCCCCGGGCUUAACCUGGGAAUGGCGUCUGUGACUGUAUAGCUAGAGUGUGUCAGAGGGGGGUGGAAUUCCACGUGUAGCAGUGAAAUGCGUAGAUAUGUGGAGGAACACCAAUGGCGAAGGCAGCCCCCUGGGAUAACACUGACGCUCAUGCACGAAAGCGUGGGGAGCAAACAGGAUUAGAUACCCUGGUAGUCCACGCCCUAAACGAUGCUGACUAGUUGUUGGGAAUUUACAUUCUCAGUAACGUAACUAACGCGUGAAGUCAGCCGCCUGGGGAGUACGGUCGCAAGAUUAAAACUCAAAGGAAUUGACGG
RNAcentral lists this ribosomal RNA (584 nucleotides) under uncultured beta proteobacterium. RNAcentral describes it as "bacterial SSU rRNA". It matches the Rfam family "Bacterial small subunit ribosomal RNA", at positions 338 to 916 of the family's 1533-position model. Lineage: Bacteria; Pseudomonadati; Pseudomonadota; Betaproteobacteria. The record is from RNAcentral.